RNAcentral lists this ribosomal RNA (719 nucleotides) under uncultured Arthrobacter sp. RNAcentral's name for it is "bacterial SSU rRNA". It matches the Rfam family "Bacterial small subunit ribosomal RNA", at positions 61 to 794 of the family's 1533-position model. The record is from RNAcentral. Lineage: Bacteria; Bacillati; Actinomycetota; Actinomycetes; Micrococcales; Micrococcaceae.
GUCGAACGAUGAUCCCAGCUUGCUGGGGGAUUAGUGGCGAACGGGUGAGUAACACGUGAGUAACCUGCCCUUGACUCUGGGAUAAGCCUGGGAAACUGGGUCUAAUACCGGAUACGACCAUCUGGCGCAUGUCAUGGUGGUGGAAAGCUUUUGUGGUUUUGGAUGGACUCGCGGCCUAUCAGCUUGUUGGUGGGGUAAUGGCCUACCAAGGCGACGACGGGUAGCCGGCCUGAGAGGGUGACCGGCCACACUGGGACUGAGACACGGCCCAGACUCCUACGGGAGGCAGCAGUGGGGAAUAUUGCACAAUGGGCGCAAGCCUGAUGCAGCGACGCCGCGUGAGGGAUGACGGCCUUCGGGUUGUAAACCUCUUUCAGUAGGGAAGAAGCGUAAGUGACGGUACCUGCAGAAGAAGCGCCGGCUAACUACGUGCCAGCAGCCGCGGUAAUACGUAGGGCGCAAGCGUUAUCCGGAAUUAUUGGGCGUAAAGAGCUCGUAGGCGGUUUGUCGCGUCUGCUGUGAAAGACCGGGGCUCAACUCCGGUUCUGCAGUGGGUACGGGCAGACUAGAGUGCAGUAGGGGAGACUGGAAUUCCUGGUGUAGCGGUGAAAUGCGCAGAUAUCAGGAGGAACACCGAUGGCGAAGGCAGGUCUCUGGGCUGUAACUGACGCUGAGGAGCGAAAGCAUGGGGAGCGAACAGGAUUAGAUACCCUGGUAGA